CCAGCCCCCGUCUUCAACCUCCAUAGCUUACGGGAGGAAUUGCACAUGCACUCCCGCACCAUCCGGUCGAAGCUCCCGGGGAUAACGUUUAUCCCCACAACUCGGCAUCGCCCAGCCGCGCCUAUAUAAAGCCCUGAGGCUCCUCGUUCCAUUCAGCUGUUUCGCAUCUCCCUACGCCACUCACAGCUGCUGCCGUGUCCAUUUGCAUCUCGCCGGCCGAACCAAGUUCGCCGAAGGAUUCCGUCUCCGAGACGACCCCGAGCCGUCGGAGUUCGCCGGAGCACCGGAGCUCCACCACCUAGCCCCGCUCCAUUCAGACACCGCCGCCACCCCGCGACACCAUCGUGUGGCAGCCCCCAUCGAGCGGCACCUUGUCGUCCCCUUCGCCCACGCCGGAGCCCGCCACAGCCGCCGCCCCUUUCCACGCUGCUCGCCACCAUCCCUGCCCGACCACGAUGCAAGCAUCGUCGCCUCUAUUGUGCGGAGUGUUAAGUCGAGUACUAUCAUUCCCAGCUCUACUCCGAGUGCCAAGGCAAGUCUACAUCUUGAUCAUACCAGAUUUUACCUAUGUUUUUAUAUGCACAUAGUCCUUUUGUAGUAGGAUUGCAUGGUAGGAAAUUUUCCGGAUGGCUUUGCUUGCACCCGGUAGUUCAUUUGAGGUAGGUUUGAACCGUACAACUUUGUCGCCACCAUGUUAAAUUAUUAAUGCUUUGUCAAAGUAGGCGUGCAUUGGGGAGUUCUCCGGCAGAACAACGGCGUGGUGGUGGUGGUGGCAGUGUGAUCUCAGCAGAGCUUUGCCAAGCGUUGCGGUAGACACGUUUCGGAUGAGAAAUCGAUCUAGGGAGAGAGGUUUAUUUGAAGAGGGAGAAUUCAGGCAGCAGGAAU
Hordeum vulgare subsp. vulgare (domesticated barley) is the source of this 885-nucleotide long non-coding RNA. RefSeq lists it as uncharacterized. NCBI's taxonomy places the organism in Eukaryota, Viridiplantae, Streptophyta, Magnoliopsida, Poales, Poaceae. The transcript is spliced from 4 exons. The record is from RefSeq and is a predicted model, not a curated record.